GACGAACGCUGGCGGCGUGCUUAACACAUGCCAGUCGAACGGAAAGGCCCUGCUUUUGUGGGGUGCUCGAGUGGCGAACGGGUGAGUAACACGUGAGUAACCUGCCCUUGACUUUGGGAUAACUUCAGGAAACUGGGGCUAAUACCGGAUAGGAGCUCCUGCUGCAUGGUGGGGGUUGGAAAGUUUCGGCGGUUGGGGAUGGACUCGCGGCUUAUCAGCUUGUUGGUGGGGUAGUGGCUUACCAAGGCUUUGACGGGUAGCCGGCCUGAGAGGGUGACCGGACACAUUGGGACUGAGAUAGGGCCCAGACUCCUACGGGAGGCAGCAGUGGGGAAUAUUGCACAAUGGGCGGAAGCCUGAUGCAGCAACGCCGCGUGCGGGAUGACGGCCUUCGGGUUGUAAACCGCUUUCGCCUGUGACGAAGCGUGAGUGACGGUAAUGGGUAAAGAAGCACCGGCUAACUACGUG
RNAcentral lists this ribosomal RNA (468 nucleotides) under uncultured bacterium. RNAcentral describes it as "partial 16S ribosomal RNA". It matches the Rfam family "Bacterial small subunit ribosomal RNA", at positions 28 to 507 of the family's 1533-position model. The record is from RNAcentral.